CUCAGUGACACGGGGUGCCCGCACGAUUGCGGGCUGAGAACACACCCGUCGAACCUGAUCUAGUUAGAACUAGCGAAGGGAUGUCCGCGGAUGAGUAU
RNAcentral lists this non-coding RNA (98 nucleotides) under Okibacterium fritillariae. RNAcentral's name for it is "TPP sequence". It matches the Rfam family "TPP riboswitch aptamer (THI element)". Rfam says of the family: Vitamin B(1) in its active form thiamin pyrophosphate (TPP) is an essential coenzyme that is synthesised by coupling of pyrimidine and thiazole moieties in bacteria. The previously detected thiamin-regulatory element, thi box was extended, resulting in a new, highly conserved RNA secondary structure, the THI element, which is widely distributed in eubacteria and also occurs in some archaea. Lineage: Bacteria; Bacillati; Actinomycetota; Actinomycetes; Micrococcales; Microbacteriaceae. The record is from Rfam by way of RNAcentral.